The sequence is a regulatory RNA element, 119 nucleotides long. It matches the Rfam family "FMN riboswitch aptamer (RFN element)". Rfam says of the family: The RFN element is a highly conserved domain that is found frequently in the 5'-untranslated regions of prokaryotic mRNAs that encode for flavin mononucleotide (FMN) biosynthesis and transport proteins. This element is a metabolite-dependent riboswitch that directly binds FMN in the absence of proteins. In Bacillus subtilis, the riboswitch most likely controls gene expression by causing premature transcription termination within the 5' untranslated region of the ribDEAHT operon and precluding access to the ribosome-binding site of ypaA mRNA. The record is from Rfam.
GUUCGUCUUCAGGGGCAGGGUGCAAUUCCCGACCGGUGGUAAUAGUCCACGACCCGCAUUUGCGGCUGAUCCGGUGCAAUUCCGGAACCGAUAGUACAGUCUAGAUAAAGAAGAUGGGG